RNAcentral lists this ribosomal RNA (248 nucleotides) under Proteus mirabilis. RNAcentral describes it as "partial 16S ribosomal RNA". It matches the Rfam family "Bacterial small subunit ribosomal RNA", at positions 207 to 449 of the family's 1533-position model. The record is from RNAcentral. Lineage: Bacteria; Pseudomonadati; Pseudomonadota; Gammaproteobacteria; Enterobacterales; Morganellaceae.
CUCUUCGGACCUUGCACUAUCGGAUGAACCCAUAUGGGAUUAGCUAGUAGGUGGGGUAAAGGCUCACCUAGGCGACGAUCUCUAGCUGGUCUGAGAGGAUGAUCAGCCACACUGGGACUGAGACACGGCCCAGACUCCUACGGGAGGCAGCAGUGGGGAAUAUUGCACAAUGGGCGCAAGCCUGAUGCAGCCAUGCCGCGUGUAUGAAGAAGGCCUUAGGGUUGUAAAGUACUUUCAGCGGGGAGGAA